GUCACGGUUGCGAAGGUUUCCAGCUGCACCUGGCUGCAGACUGUUGCACCAAGCAGAUGUGGCAUAGCAGCAAGCAAAAAAAAAAUAGCACUUGGUGACGUCCUCCUGGCACACCUCUUGGCUCCCCCUGCCUUCAAGCCCACUUCCCUGCGCUAUAAAAGCCACAAGCCCCCUGCUUCUGCUGGGAGCAGCGUGCCCUGAGGAGCAGCCCUGCCGAGCACAGUUUUCCCUUUGGAAGAAGGCUGGUGGGCUUUGGGAUCAGGAAGAUCCAGACCUGAGGAGAUCACAGGGCCAACACAAAGGCCUGU
Molecule: long non-coding RNA, 308 nt
Organism: Numida meleagris (helmeted guineafowl)
Lineage: Eukaryota; Metazoa; Chordata; Aves; Galliformes; Numididae
Exons: 3
Source: RefSeq, a predicted model, not a curated record